AUACGGAGGGGGCUAGCGUUGUUCGGAAUUACUGGGCGUAAAGCGCGUGUAGGCGGAUCGUUAAGUCAGGGGUGAAAGCCCGGAGCUCAACUCCGGAAUUGCCCUUGAUACUGGCGAUCUAGAGGCCGGGAGAGGUGAGCGGAAUUCCCAGUGUAGAGGUGAAAUUCGUAGAUAUUGGGAGGAACACCAGUGGCGAAGGCGGCUCACUGGCCCGGUUCUGACGCUGAGACGCGAAAGCGCGGGGAGCAAACAGGAUUAGAAACCCCAGUAGUCC
This 274-nucleotide ribosomal RNA is filed under the name uncultured bacterium. RNAcentral describes it as "partial 16S ribosomal RNA". It matches the Rfam family "Bacterial small subunit ribosomal RNA", at positions 523 to 796 of the family's 1533-position model. The record is from RNAcentral.